This is a long non-coding RNA of Ipomoea nil (Japanese morning glory), 248 nucleotides long. RefSeq lists it as uncharacterized. The transcript is spliced from 3 exons. The record is from RefSeq and is a predicted model, not a curated record. Lineage: Eukaryota; Viridiplantae; Streptophyta; Magnoliopsida; Solanales; Convolvulaceae.
UUCGGGAAAUCACCCCACAAUUCUUCUACCAAUCCUUUGGUCUUGUGGCUGACCGGAGGGCCAGGAUGCUCAUCUCUUGGAUCCGGAGCACUGGAUGAGCUUGGACCUUUCAGAGUUAAGAGCGAUGGAAAAAUGUUAUAUGAAAACGAUUACUCAUGGAGCAAAGUGGAAAAUAUGUUAUUCCUGAAAUCACCGGCCGAAAUCGGAUUUUCCUAUUCCAACACCGGCUCCAACUAUAACACCACAGG